This 429-nucleotide ribosomal RNA is filed under the name Chloroflexota bacterium. RNAcentral's name for it is "Chloroflexi bacterium partial 16S ribosomal RNA". It matches the Rfam family "Bacterial small subunit ribosomal RNA", at positions 355 to 776 of the family's 1533-position model. Lineage: Bacteria; Bacillati; Chloroflexota. The record is from RNAcentral.
UGGGGAAUAUUGCACAAUGGGCGCAAGCCUGAUGCAGCCAUGCCGCGUGUAUGAAGAAGGCCUUCGGGUUGUAAAGUACUUUCAGCGGGGAGGAAGGGAGUAAAGUUAAUACCUUUGCUCAUUGACGUUACCCGCAGAAGAAGCACCGGCUAACUCCGUGCCAGCAGCCGCGGUAAUACGGAGGGUGCAAGCGUUAAUCGGAAUUACUGGGCGUAAAGCGCACGCAGGCGGUUUGUUAAGUCAGAUGUGAAAUCCCCGGGCUCAACCUGGGAACUGCAUCUGAUGCUGGCAAGCUUGAGUCUCGUAGAGGGGGGUAGAAUUCCAGGUGUAGCGGUGGAAUGCGUAGAGAUCUGGAGGAAUACCGGUGGCGAAGGCGGCCCCCUGGACGAAGACUGACGCUCAGGUGCGAAAGCGUGGGGAGCAAACAGG